GCCGUACUUUCCAUUCGCUCUCGAGCUUAGGCAGCCAUGUGAUGAAGUUCUGUUCUUCCCUCACACCUGCUCAUCCUGGGGAUGGAAUAAGAUGCUUUCAGACGACGAUGCCUCGUGCAUCUUCAGCAAACUAGUCUUGGAAGGAUUUCGUGGAUGUGAUUUCUAAUGGAGGAUGUUCGUUUACAUCCAGAUGACCGGUUUUUCAGUGCCAUGGGGAGAGUCCAGGGAGAAUAGGCAGCUGGAGCUCGGAGUCGCCCGCAGGAGGAAGUGGAGGCAGUGCUGCCUCAUGAGGCUGAUGCAACAUGAGGGUCGGCAGACAAAUGAAGGAUGCUAGAGGAAUCAUGGGAAGCAUAUGAUCUGGAUACUUUUAUUUCACAUCAGUGAUGAUGAAAGUAACAUCAACCAUAGUUCACAUAUCAUCAUACGAAGAUGGCUAAGAUGAUUCAAUCAAAGGGUAAAAUAUAUCAUAUAAAUCAAAUUUGCCUAUAUAAAUGUGUGUGUGUGUGUGUGUGUGUGUGUGUGUUUAUAUGUACUAUAUAUGUAUGUAUGUAUGUAUAAAUAUUUAUGACU
Carassius auratus (goldfish) is the source of this 570-nucleotide long non-coding RNA. RefSeq lists it as uncharacterized. The record is from RefSeq and is a predicted model, not a curated record. The transcript is spliced from 3 exons. NCBI's taxonomy places the organism in Eukaryota, Metazoa, Chordata, Actinopteri, Cypriniformes, Cyprinidae.